This 497-nucleotide ribosomal RNA is filed under the name uncultured bacterium. RNAcentral's name for it is "bacterial SSU rRNA". It matches the Rfam family "Bacterial small subunit ribosomal RNA", at positions 8 to 498 of the family's 1533-position model. The record is from RNAcentral.
AGAGUUUGAUCCUGGCUCAGAUUGAACGCUGGCGGAAUGCUUUACACAUGCAAGUCGAACGGCAGCACGGGUGCUUGCACCUGGUGGCGAGUGGCGAACGGGUGAGUAAUGCGUCGGAACGUACCGAGUAAUGGGGGAUAACGCAGCGAAAGUUGUGCUAAUACCGCAUACGCCCUGAGGGGGAAAGUGGGGGAUCGCAAGACCUCACGUUAUUCGAGCGGCCGACGUCUGAUUAGCUAGUUGGUGGGGUAAAGGCCUACCAAGGCGACGAUCAGUAGCGGGUCUGAGAGGAUGAUCCGCCACACUGGGACUGAGACACGGCCCAGACUCCUACGGGAGGCAGCAGUGGGGAAUUUUGGACAAUGGGGGCAACCCUGAUCCAGCCAUUCCGCGUGAGUGAAGAAGGCCUUCGGGUUGUAAAGCUCUUUCAGCUGGAACGAAACGGUGCGCUCUAACAUAGCGUGCUAAUGACGGUACCAGCAGAAGAAGCACCGGCA